Molecule: ribosomal RNA, 406 nt
Filed under: uncultured bacterium
Lineage: Bacteria
Description: partial 16S ribosomal RNA
Rfam family: Bacterial small subunit ribosomal RNA
Source: RNAcentral
AUUGAACGCUGGCGGCAGGCCUAACCCAUGCAAGUCGAGCGAGCGGCGGACGGGUGAGUAAUGUCUGGGAAACUGCCUGAUGGAGGGGGAUAACUACUGGAAACGGUAGCUAAUACCGCAUACCAUCAGAUGUGCCCAGAUGGGAUGAGCUAGUAGGUGGGGUAACGGCUCACCUAGGCGACGAUCCCUAGCUGGUCUGAGAGGAUGACCAGACACACGGGACCUGAGACACGGUCCAGACUCCUACGGGAGUCAGCAGUGGGGAAUAUUGAACAAGGGGCGCAAGCCUGAUGCAGCCAUGCCGCGUGUGUGAAGAAGGCCUUCGGGUUGUAAAGCACUUUCAGCGGGGAGGCGUUACCCGCAGAAGAAGCACCGGCUAACUCCGUGCCAGCAGCCGCGGUAAUAC